UACGAAGGGGGCUAGCGUUGCUCGGAAUUACUGGGCGUAAAGCGUGCGUAGACGGUUACAUAAGUCGGGUGUGAAAGCCCCGGGCUCAACCUGGGAAUUGCAUUCGAGACUGCGUAGCUAGGGUGCGGAAGAGGGAAGCGGAAUUUCCGGUGUAGCGGUGAAAUGCGUAGAUAUCGGAAGGAACACCAGUGGCGAAAGCGGCUUCCUGGUCCAGCACCGACGUUCAGGCACGAAAGCGUGGGGAGCAAACAGG
This 253-nucleotide ribosomal RNA is filed under the name uncultured bacterium. Its description in RNAcentral is "partial 16S ribosomal RNA". It matches the Rfam family "Bacterial small subunit ribosomal RNA", at positions 524 to 776 of the family's 1533-position model. The record is from RNAcentral.